This is a non-coding RNA of Oncorhynchus mykiss (rainbow trout), 266 nucleotides long. Lineage: Eukaryota; Metazoa; Chordata; Actinopteri; Salmoniformes; Salmonidae. The record is from RefSeq and is a predicted model, not a curated record.
AAAGAGGACAGGUUGAGACAUCUAAAGAGAGUCUGUUGGCAGGUUGAGACAUCUAAAGAGGGCCUGUUGGCAGGUUGAGACAUCUAAAGAGGGUCUGUUGGCAGGUUGAGAACACUAAAGAGGGUCUGUUGGCAGGUUGAGACAUCUAAAGAGGGUCUGUUGGCAGGUUGAGACAUCUAAAGAGGGCCUGUUGGCAGGUUGAGACAUCUAAAGAGGGUCUGUUGGCAGGUUGAGACAUCUAAAGAGGGUCUGUUGGCAGGUUGAGA